RNAcentral lists this ribosomal RNA (407 nucleotides) under uncultured bacterium. RNAcentral describes it as "bacterial SSU rRNA". It matches the Rfam family "Bacterial small subunit ribosomal RNA", at positions 355 to 774 of the family's 1533-position model. The record is from RNAcentral.
UGGGGAAUAUUGCACAAUGGGCGCAAGCCUGAUGCAGCAACGCCGCGUGAGGGGCGACGGCCUUCGGGUUGUAAACCUCUUUUGGCAGGGAAGAAGCGAAAGUGACGGUACCUGCAGAAAAAGCACCGGCUAACUACGUGCCAGCAGCCGCGGUGAUACGUAGGGUGCAAGCGUUGUCCGGAAUUAUUGGGCGUAAAGAGCUCGUAGGCGGUUUGUCGCGUCUGCUGUGAAAACCCGAGGCUCAACCUCGGGCCUGCAGUGGGUACGGGCAAACUAGAGUGCGGUGGGGGAGAUUGGAAUUCCUGGUGUAGCGGUGGAAUGCGCAGAUAUCAGGAGGAACACCGAUGGCGAAGGCAGAUCUCUGGGCCGUAACUGACGCUGAGGAGCGAAAGCAUGGGGAGCGAACA